AGGACUAACGCUGGCGGCGUGCCUAACACAUGCAAGUCGAACGAGAGUAGCAAUACUCUAGUGGCAGACGGGUGAGUAACACGUGGUCAACCUUCCCUAGCGUGGGGGAUAACUAGCCGAAAGGUUAGCUAAUACCGCAUGACAUCGUCGAGUGGCAUCAUUUGACGAUCAAAGGAGCAAUCCGCGCAAGGACGGGACCGCGUCCCAUUAGCUAGUUGGUGAGGUAACGGCCCACCAAGGCUUCGAUGGGUAGCUGGUUUGAGAGAGCGACCAGCCACACUGGGACUGAGACACGGCCCAGACUCCUACGGGAGGCAGCAGUGAGGAAUUUUCCGCAAUGGGCGAAAGCCUGACGGAGCGACGUCGCGUGUGGGAAGAAGGCCUUCGGGUCGUAACCACUGUCGAAGGGGAAGAUAUUGACGGUACCCUUGGAGGAAGCCCGGCUAACUACGUGCCAGCAGCCGC
Molecule: ribosomal RNA, 465 nt
Filed under: uncultured bacterium
Lineage: Bacteria
Description: SSU rRNA
Rfam family: Bacterial small subunit ribosomal RNA
Source: RNAcentral